CGAGCGGCGGACGGGUGAGUAAUGCCUAGGAAAUUGCCCUGAUGUGGGGGAUAACCAUUGGAAACGAUGGCUAAUACCGCAUGAUGCCUACGGGCCAAAGAGGGGGACCUUCGGGCCUCUCGCGUCAGGAUAUGCCUAGGUGGGAUUAGCUAGUUGGUGAGGUAAGGGCUCACCAAGGCGACGAUCCCUAGCUGGUCUGAGAGGAUGAUCAGCCACACUGGAACUGAGACACGGUCCAGACUCCUACGGGAGGCAGCAGUGGGGAAUAUUGCACAAUGGGCGCAAGCCUGAUGCAGCCAUGCCGCGUGUGUGAAGAAGGCCUUCGGGUUGUAAAGCACUUUCAGUCGUGAGGAAGGUAGU
RNAcentral lists this ribosomal RNA (360 nucleotides) under Vibrio parahaemolyticus. RNAcentral's name for it is "bacterial SSU rRNA". It matches the Rfam family "Bacterial small subunit ribosomal RNA", at positions 92 to 455 of the family's 1533-position model. The record is from RNAcentral. Lineage: Bacteria; Pseudomonadati; Pseudomonadota; Gammaproteobacteria; Vibrionales; Vibrionaceae.